AGUCACUGACGAGUUUGAUCAUGGGCUCAGAUUGAACGCUGGCGGCAUGGCUAAAACAUGCAAGUCGAACGAUCCCUUCGGGGAGAGUGGCGAAAGGGCGAGGAAUAGAAUCGAAUGUACCCCAAGGUGGGGAGUAGCCUCUGGAAACGGAGGGUAAUACCCAUGUGCUCUACGGAGGAAAGGUUUACCGCCUUGGGAGCAGCGAUUCUCCUAUCAGGUAGUUGGUGAGGUAACGGCUCACCAAGCCGAAGACGGGUAGCGGGUGUGAGAGCAUGACCCGCCGCAUCGGGACUGAGACACUGCCCGGACUCCUACGGGAGGCUGCAGUAACGAAUCUUCCGCAAUGGGCGAAAGCCUGACGGAGCAAUGCCGCGUGUGGGAUGAAGCAUCUUCGAUGUGUAACCACUAGUCAGGGUCUAGGAAUACUGACCAGACCCAAAGGAAGGGCCGGCGUAAUUCCGUG
Molecule: ribosomal RNA, 463 nt
Filed under: uncultured bacterium
Lineage: Bacteria
Description: bacterial SSU rRNA
Rfam family: Bacterial small subunit ribosomal RNA
Source: RNAcentral